ACGUGUUUACGGUUCCAAAAC
Molecule: unclassified non-coding RNA, 21 nt
Filed under: Dictyostelium discoideum
Lineage: Eukaryota; Evosea; Eumycetozoa; Dictyosteliales; Dictyosteliaceae
Source: RNAcentral